RNAcentral lists this ribosomal RNA (465 nucleotides) under uncultured bacterium. Its description in RNAcentral is "bacterial SSU rRNA". It matches the Rfam family "Bacterial small subunit ribosomal RNA", at positions 50 to 507 of the family's 1533-position model. The record is from RNAcentral.
AACACAUGCAAGUCGAGCGGAGAUGAGGUGCUUGCACCUUAUCUUAGCGGCGGACGGGUGAGUAAUGCUUAGGAAUCUGCCUAUUAGUGGGGGGACAACAUUCCGAAAGGAAUGCUAAUACCGCAUACGUCCUACGGGAGAAAAGCAGGGGAUCUUCGGACCUUGCGCUAAUAGAUGAGCCUAAGUCGGAUUAGCUAGUUGGUGGGGUAAAGGCCUACCAAGGCGACGAUCUGUAGCGGGUCUGAGAGGAUGAUCCGCCACACUGGGACUGAGACACGGCCCAGACUCCUACGGGAGGCAGCAGUGGGGAAUAUUGGACAAUGGGGGGAACCCUGAUCCAGCCAUGCCGCGUGUGUGAAGAAGGCCUUAUGGUUGUAAAGCACUUUAAGCGAGGAGGAGGCUACUGAGACUAAUACUCUUGGAUAGUGGACGUUACUCGCAGAAUAAGCACCGGCUAACUCUGUG